GACGAACGCUGGCGGCGUGCCUAACACAUGCAAGUCGAGCGGAGAUGAUGUGAGGAAGUUUUCAGAUGGAAUCACAUUAUUUUAGCGGCGGACGGGUGAGUAACGCGUGAGCGACCAACCUUGCACAGGGGGAUAACGGACCGAAAGGUUCACUAAUACCGCAUGAGACCACGGUGUUGCAUGGCACAGGGGUCAAAGGAGGAAUCCGGUGCAAGACGGGCUCGCGUCCGAUUAGGUAGUUGGAGGGGUAACGGCCCACCAAGCCUAUGAUCGGUAGCCGACCUGAGAGGGUGAUCGGCCACAUUGGAACUGAGAUGCGGUCCAAACUCCUACGGGAGGGAGCAGUGGGGAAUAUUGGGCAAUGGGGGAAACCCUGACCCAGCAACGCCGCGUGAAGGAAGAAGGUUUUCGGAUUGUAAACUUCUGUCCUUGGUGAAGAGAAGAAGACGGUAGCCAAGGAGGAAGCCCCGGCUAACUACGUGCCAGCCGCCGCAGUAA
Molecule: ribosomal RNA, 498 nt
Filed under: uncultured bacterium
Lineage: Bacteria
Description: partial 16S ribosomal RNA
Rfam family: Bacterial small subunit ribosomal RNA
Source: RNAcentral